UACGUAGGUGGCAAGCGUUGUCCGGAUUUACUGGGCGUAAAGGAUGCGUAGGUGGAUAUUUAAGUGGGAUGUGAAAUACCCGGGCUUAACCUGGGUGCUGCAUUCCAAACUGGAUAUCUGGAGUGCAGGAGAGGUAAGUGGAAUUCCUAGUGUAGCGGUGAAAUGCGUAGAGAUUAGGAAGAACACCAGUGGCGAAGGCGGCUCACUGGUCCGGUACUGACGCUGAGGUGCGAAAGCGUGGGGAGCAAACAGG
This 253-nucleotide ribosomal RNA is filed under the name uncultured prokaryote. RNAcentral's name for it is "partial 16S ribosomal RNA". It matches the Rfam family "Bacterial small subunit ribosomal RNA", at positions 524 to 776 of the family's 1533-position model. The record is from RNAcentral.